RNAcentral lists this long non-coding RNA (3246 nucleotides) under Sus scrofa (pig). Its description in RNAcentral is "lncRNA (ENSSSCG00000061636.1)". Lineage: Eukaryota; Metazoa; Chordata; Mammalia; Artiodactyla; Suidae. The record is from RNAcentral.
CUCCGUCACGCGCUCCACACCUGACCUGAGUCAGCCACGCAGAGACCCGCGAAGGAGCCCAGGCCGGUGACGGUGGGGCUGGGGUUUGGGGAGCCGGGAGGGGUGAGACGGGAGUGCAGGGGCGGGGGACCUGGGCCCAACCCACUUCAGAGGCCGGUAGGGCCCCGGCCGGUUCUGCUUUUUCAACCCGUGAGUCCCCGGAGUGAGUUCUGCACGCGGCCGGGGCUUGGCCGAUGGGCGGAGCUUUCCUUCUGCUCGAGGUGCUCCUGAACCCGCCUCCCGGGCGCGCCUGCCCGCCAGCGCUGCAGUUCGCAGAGCGGCCGCCGGGGGGAGGCGGCGAGGCGGGAAACCAGGCUGCCGCCGGCUCUGCGGCUUUUGCAUUUUCCCUCCAGGGUGAAGGGUCAUCUGGAAAAGCGCGUGCGCCGGCGCUUCCUCCGGAACCGAACGAGCCGGCGAGGCCGCGUCCAGACGGCCGCGCGCCGUGUCCCGGCCCCUCCUCCGGCCCCUGUCGUGACUCAGCUUGUCAUUGACCGUGGCGCCCCCGCAGGGCUCCGGCCGCCCCGGGAGCGUCCUCCGCGCCCUCGUGGGUGUGUUUGGCGCGAACACAGCCGUUCUCAGGGCUCCAGCGCGUUCGUCCAGCUCUUCCGCUGCUGGCGGCGGGCUGGUGUCGGGCUUGGGCCAUCGUGCAUAAGUAGUGUCGCGGGAGCCUUUCGCAGGUGUGGGCACGCGUAUUCGCACUUGCGUUGGGUGUAGACCUGUGAAUGGGAUCGUUGGGCCUCGGGUACUACUAAUUUUUCAGCGUCAGCAGGUACGGCCAGGUGCACCCUUUAAACAUCAGCCCCUUUAUGCUCCCAACGCAGCCCCGGUUGCCUUGCGUACUUUCUGCCUUUUCCGCGGUAGCUACUCAAGUACUUUAGACUUUAAAAAAACAACAGAGGAGUUCCCGCGUGGCUCAGUGGUUAACGAAUCCAACUAGGAACCAUGAGGUUGCGGGUUCGAUCCCUGGCCUUGCCCAGUGGGUUAAGGAUCCGGUGCUGCUGUGAGCUGUGGCGUGGGUCGCAGACGCGGCUUGGAUCCUGCGUUGCUGUGGCUCUGGCGUAGGCCGGCGGCUACAGCUCUGAUUCGACCCCUAGCCUGGGAACCUCCAUAUGCCGCGAGCGCGGCCCUAGAAAAAUACCAAAAGACCAAACAACAACAACACAAACACAGCUUUGUUGGGGUAUAAUUUACAUCCUGUUAAAAGUCACGUGUUUUUAUGUGCAUGAUCCAAGGAUUCUUGGUAAAUUGAUGGAGCUGUGCGACCACCACCAGGAACCAGUUCCGACCAUCUCCACCACGCCUAGCUCUCUCAUGCCCGUUUUAUUCUGUUUUUUAAUCUCAUUCCCCCAGCCCCCAAAGCAGUCUUUGGGCACUUGUUUUGUUGCCAGGCACUUUGCUAAGCAAUAUGGGUGAUUUAAAGAAUCAGAAGACCUGGUCCGUGCAGCUUAGAGAGAGACAGAUGUGCAACCCAAUUGGAGUGACGGGGCGGGGGCGGGAGGGGGGAACAGAGCAGCUGGGCAUGUGUGCCAAGCCAGAGGUGAGGAUUUCUGAAGCUUGAACCGCGAACAUGGGGAGGCAGGCAUAAUGGAUCAAAAGGGAGGAGCCUCCACUUGGCCAUCACCCUCAAACGAAGAGCUUAGCUUUCCAGGCCUUGCCUGAGCAACUCCUGCUCUAGAACUUUCCAGACCACAGCCCUGGAAGAGUCUCUGCCCUUUAGCCCCACAAUCGCCUGGGCUUUGUACAGGUCUGCCAGCCCCCAGGACUGAGCGCUCUGAGAGAGCAGAAAGCUAUGUCAGCCUGAAUCAUGGCUGUCUGUGGAGCCCCCGUAGCAGCCCUGGGCGGUCUGUUCUUGGCCUGUGAUGUGUAAGCUGGCAGCUUCUAUCUUGUUCAAGCCAUUUCUGUGUGUUUCCUGUGGUUGCUGUGACAAAUCACUGCACACGGAGUGGCCUAAGAGCGGCAUGCACUUCUUAUCUCACAGUUCUGGAGGCCAGAUGCUUGAAAUGUGGUCAAGGAGCCAACGAGGGCUCCCUCCCUCCAGAGGCUUUCAGGAAGAACCUGUCCCUGGCCUCUGCCAGCCUCUGGUGGCUGCCAGCCUGUCUUGGUUUGUGGCAUUAUCACUCCAAUCUUUGCCUCCAUCUUCACGGCGCCUUGUGUGUGUGUGUGUGUGUGUGUGCGCGCACGCACGCAUUGUCUCCCCUGCCUCCCACUUAGAAGGACACGUGACUGCACUAAGGCCCAGCCACAUAAUCCAGGAAAAUUGCCUCAAGGUCCUUUACUUGAUCAGAUCUGCCAAGACCCUUUUCCCAAGUAAAGGAAUAUUGGUUCCAGGGAUGAAAGCCUGAUAUCUUCGGGGGCGCCGUCCAGCCUGUUACACCCCUGCUAUUCAUGUCCCUGUUGCUGAGCGCUGAAACAACACCCCAGAGAAUAGAAAAAAUGCAUGUAGGAGUUCCCUUGUGGCUCAAUGGGUUAAGGAUCUGGCAUUGUCACUGCUGUGGCUUGGGUCGCUGCUGUGGCACAGGUUUGAUUCCUGGCCCAGCAACUUCCUCAUGCCACGGGUAUGGCAAGAAAGAAACAGAAAGAAAGAAAAAGAAAGAAAGGUGAGUUCCUGUUGUGGCUCAGAGGGUUAAGAACCAGACCUAGUGUUCAUGAGGAUGUGGGUUCCAUCCCUGGUCUUGCUCAGUGGGUUAAGGAUCUGGUGUCGCCAUGGCUGUGGUGUAGGCCUGCAGCUAUAGCUCCGAUUUGACCCCAGCCUGGGAACUUCCAUAUGCUGCAGAUACGGCCAUUAAAAAAAGAAUCUUGCUGCAUAGCACAGGGAACUAUAUCUAGUCUCUUGUGAUGGAACGUGAUGGAGGGUAAUGUGAGAAAAAAAUAUACAUAUACAUGUCUGGGUCACUUUGCUGUACAGCAGAAAUUGACAGAACGUUGUAAAUCAACUAUAACAGAAAAAAUAAAAAUCUUAAAAAGAAUGGAGUUCCCGUCGUGGCGCAGUGGUUAAUGAAUCCGACUAGGAACCAUGAGGUUUCGGGUUCGAUCCCUGGCCGUGCUCAGUGGGUUAAGGAUCCGGCGUUGCCGUGAGCUGUGGUGUAGGUUGCAGACGCGGCUCGGAUCCUGCGUUGCUGUGGCUCUGGUGUAGGCUGGCGGCUACAGCUCCGAUUCGACCCCUAGCCUGGGAACCUCCAUAUGCUGCAGAAGCAGCCCUAGAAAUGG